This 73-nucleotide transfer RNA is filed under the name Gemmataceae bacterium. Its description in RNAcentral is "tRNA-Lys". It matches the Rfam family "tRNA". From Rfam's summary of the family: Transfer RNA (tRNA) molecules are approximately 80 nucleotides in length. Their secondary structure includes four short double-helical elements and three loops (D, anti-codon, and T loops). Lineage: Bacteria; Pseudomonadati; Planctomycetota; Planctomycetia; Gemmatales; Gemmataceae. The record is from RNAcentral.
GCCUCCUUAGCUCAAUUGGCAGAGCAGCUGACUCUUAAUCAGCGGGUUGUAGGUUCAAGUCCUACAGGAGGCA